RNAcentral lists this ribosomal RNA (497 nucleotides) under uncultured bacterium. RNAcentral describes it as "partial 16S ribosomal RNA". It matches the Rfam family "Bacterial small subunit ribosomal RNA", at positions 28 to 507 of the family's 1533-position model. The record is from RNAcentral.
GAUGAACGCUGGCGGCGUGCCUAAUACAUGCAAGUCGAGCGAAAAGAUGAGGUGCUUGCUCUUAUGCCGUUAGCGGCGGACGGGCGAGUACCACGUGGAUAACCUACCUAUAUGACUGGGAUGACUUCGGGAAACAGGAGCUAAUUCCGGAUAAUAUAUUUUACCGCAUGGUUCCAUAGUGAAAGACGGUUUUGCUGUCACUUAUAGAUGGAUCCGCGCCGCAUUAGCUAGUUGGUAAGGUAACGUCUUACCAAGGCAACGAGGCGGAGCCGACCUGAGGGGGUGAGCGGACACACUGGAACUGAGACACGGUCCAGACUCCAACGGGAGGCAGCAGUAGGGAAUCUUCCGCAAUGGGCGAAAGCCUGACGGAGCAACGCCGCGUGAGGGAUGAAGGUCUUCGGAUCGUAAAACUCUGUUAUUAGGGAAGAACAAAUGUGUAAGUAACGAGGCACGUCUUGACGGUACCUAAUCAGAAAGCCACGGCUAACUACGUG